AUCAAUUCCAUGGCCAUGAUAUAAAGACUAUUCUUUAAUUAAAAUGAAAAUUAAAAUUAAAGAGAAUCAUAAUGAAUGUUUGCGAGACGAUUUCAUUUUAAUUAAAUUAAAUUGGAUUACUACAGUCAAAUGAUUAUUUUUUUCUUAAAUAUUGAGCAACGCUGUCACGUAUCAUUCUGUAAAUCUACAGAAAAUUUAACUAAUGCCUCUAUAUUUUUAAUUUAGCUCGAUAAACUUGUUUCAUAACUACAUGAAAUAUAAAAGCAUUCGCUCUCGCUCUGCUGCAAAAUGUGGCUUGAUGGCUCGCGAUUCUGUCGAAAAAAAAAAAAUAAAUAAAAGAAAAGAAGAAUAAAACUUUAAAAGGUUCUCUCUCUUUCGCUCUUUCUCUCACGUGCAGACCCUCUUCACGAAUUGAAAUAUCACAAAUGGAUUAAAAUAUGUAGAAUUAGCCAAGCGAUAUUGAUUGAUGCGAAUUCUGCGGGAAACUCAAGUUUAUAUCUGUAAACUUUCGCAUGAGCCGAGUUUUUAUUUAAAGCGGAAUUUUACGAGCAAUCCAUAAUGGCGAGUUCCGCUCGUUUAUCUAAAUCCUCUCACGAUGGAUAGAUGGUUCCCGGCCUUCACGGGCGACCGCCACGAAUGACCACCACAAAUGACCGCUGUGACUGGGUCGUGUGGAUCAAGUUGGGGAUAGAUGGCCAUGGGUGGUGAGGAUCUACCAAGUUCACCAUUUCCCUUAAAGGUACGAGAUCUUCCUAAAUGGCUCUCUGUAUACAGGGGCACACCGACUAUAUCCCUUCCAGUAUAUAUGAUUGCCUAUGUAAUGCUUUCGUUCGUAUAUAACUGCCACAAGCGUGCAUGUGCGUGUUAUAUAUCCAUGUAGUGACGCAUCGGCACAUCGGUGUGAGGACAACCGAUUUCGCGAAUCUGCGUUAAUCCCCUCGCACAGUAACAUUGUUAUAUAAAGGGAUUCGGGCAUUAGCCUUUUAGUAAACGUGCGUCAUUUCUCAACAGAUAGACGUUUCAUUACACGCAUACAUGUACGCGAUGUCUAUUCGUUUGUACGCGAAUCGCCAACGAGUCUGUUUUACCCUCUGCCCACGGAGGGGCGCGGGCGCGUCGCUGUAAAGUCAGCAGCGUACGCGAGUAAAUUUAUAAGCGAGCACACGUAUGCACGUGACGUGCACAUGCAUGUGUGUAUAUGAAUAUAAGUAUAUACAUAUAUAUAUUUGUACAAGCUGCGGUUUGUACGCGUUGCUUUCUCCAUCUCACACACGCCAGGGGGUCACCUGCCUCUAGAGGCCAAGAGUCGCUUCGGGAGGGCCUGACUCUCUAUUAUGUAUAAUAGGGAUACUUGAGUUCUCGGUGAGACCGUUGUUUGCCGUCUGCCUGUCUGGCGUUUCGGCCCGCGGAAUGCCGCCGUUUAUGUCCACCCGGGUGCGGUAUGUUGCGUUUGGGUUGCCGUGCACGGAUACGCCAACCGACCGUUUUAUUGUGCACGCCGUUUGCUCUCUUCGUCAUUCAUGCUGUCACUGUCAGUGGACCAAGAUGGUUGCACGUCACCUAUCUACCGCGACGUGAUCGAGGAGAGAACUUACCUCUUCGCCUUUUAACGCGAAAGCCUUUCGUUUCUCCCGAAAGGCGAAACUCGACUUGCCUGCAAGGCGAUCCGAUUCAUUUUUUAGCGGAACAACCUGUAAAGACGCCGGAGCUUUUAGUACGCUUUUCUUUCUCGUCUUUCGUCAGACAUUACCCUAUUAGUUUUUAAGACUCUCACGAAACUUUUGGCUUACUCUUUGCACGUAGUGUAAACCGGGUUGAAGGGGGCGCGAAGAUGUUUGUGUGCUUUCUACUUAAUUGACAAGUAUAGAAGCGCAAUUUAAGCUAAGAGGAUUAUAUAAUUCUUGAAAGUAGCACACGUGUGUGCGUGUAUGGAUUUCCAAUUUUACCGUCUUCCUUUUUAAGUUAAAAAGAUAACAUUAGCCACUGUGCUGAUGUAUCGAGAAAUUUGCAGGAAAUUUUUUCCUUUCUUGUUAAAAUUUAGUAAAAUAUUCUUCUAAUACUUAAAAUUUAGUAUCAUCCGCUAAGUGGAAUUUUUCGUCAAAUCUUUUAAAAUAAUAUAGCUCUCUUGCUAGUUAAUUAUUAUUACUAAAGUUUAACCGUGCAAAUGUUUUAUUACAAUUGUUUAGUCGAAUGAUUAGGUUUUUAUCACAUUUUUAAAAUAGUAUGUGCCUUAGAGAAUGACACUUUUAGGUUAUCAAAUAUCAAUGAUAAUAACAAUGAGCUUUUAUGUACUAAUAAUACAUAUAUAUUCAUCAUUAACUACAAUAAAAUUGCAUUUUUUUAAUUUAUCAUUAGAAUCACCUUUGGUCUAGCCAUUAUCGGAGAUAUUCACUGCAGCCAGCCUCGUACCGGGAAUGUUAAUAGCCCAAUGUUCCAUUUAUUAGAGGAGCAAUUUUCCGGUCGAUCAACUUUUCCCGUCGCCACUGUCGAUGCAUUCGCCGCUUCGAUAAAAGACGCAUCGCCGCUUUUUCACGCGUAUCGCAAUUGACGACACGGUUAUCAAAUCAAUUAGAGCGGAGCGCGUAACUCCUUUGUCCGAAACAGCUGAUUCGUUUAGAACGAAUUAUUUCCUCUGGAAUUUCAAUCGUGCCCGCGCGAGCGUUUUAUCCGAGCUUCAAUGAUUCACGAUGGUGGUAGUUUCUUUCCCCCAAUUGCAAUGACGCGUCUCUCCCUCGAAAUAGAAUGAUUCGCACCAGUGGCGAAGGCCCGUCGGACGUUUCGCAGAAAUCAAUAGUUCCGUAAAGGACGACAAACGCGAGAGGAAUCGGUCCUUUUGCCUUCACAUCUCUCCAGGUACUGGCAAAAGUUAGCUGAACAAUUGCGGCGUGUGAAUAGCGCUAAAAUGUGGGAGACAUUUGGUUUCCCAACGGAUGGAGGGAUAUCGAGCGAGAGCGGUAUCGGGCGGUACGUUGACAAAUUUACAAUCGUACGUGGAAUCUCGAAUUCCGGCAUCCCAUCGACUUUCGCUCGCCCACGUACGUACAUCUGUUUCAUAAAAGGAAAUACUCACGUGUGCGUGUGUGUGUGUAUGCGUGGAAAAAGCUUUGUGGUCGCGCUGGAAUGCGAGACGCCGCGCGUCAUACAACAUAAAAGUGAAAGCUCUGAAACUCGAUAAUUAAAAGCGAUGGCCUCCUCGUUCGGUCGUUUACGAACUCUAAUAAAAAAUGAACGCGUUUGCGCAAUAUAUUAAAUUCCCCCAGUAUCAAGUUCCUCGUAGUGAUUAUACUUUACUCGUUUUAAGAGUGAUUUUAAAUACGUUGUUGCGUGUGUUAUUAUGAAUAUGUUAUGCUUCUUUUUUCCGUACAAAGUUUGAGCAAACACGCAACAUUUCAUUCUAUUAUUGAAAUUUCUCUCUAAUUGUAAGUACACAACAUCGUAAUGUUCUAUGAAAACUACGUUGUUGUUCAGAAAUUUGUAAUAAAACUGGUAGGGAUUAUAUGUGGAACAAUUUACAGUGCAAAAUUCUUAUGCCGUAGUAAUGUUCUUCAUUAGGUUUGUUUUUGCAAUUUCAAUAGUUUCAACAGUUUCAAUAGUUUCUCAGCAAAACUUUGCAUUUACUUCAUUAAGAGAUUAGUUUAGUUUCCCGUCUUCACUUUUUGAACCCUUUCAGUAAGAUACAGUUAAUGAUGUUUAAACUUUUCUAAUUGCCAUCCGAACUUUAUAUUGAAGAAAAACUGGGAGAGUCUUUAAUUAAACUUUCUAAAAGAAGACGAAAUACCUUGAGUUAAGAUUAGCGCAUGAAAAUUCGGUCAAGUAAUUAACCAUUCAGAAAAAUCUGUGUCAGUGAAUUAGUAUUCCUAAUUUGAAUGCUACAUCUUUCAUCCAUUAUGAAUUAUCAAUUGAAAUCACACAGAGACCUUAUCUGCAUAUUUAAAUCCUAUAUUUUUCGAUGUAGCUUUAGAGAUGAAUAUGACUGAUCGAUCCUUACAUUUAAAAUCUAUAUUGUUUUACGUUUAAUAAUAAUUAAUAAUUAUUAUAUUCAAGUUAAUAUUGAAAAUAUGCAGCGAGAAUAGUUUUUUCUUAUAUUUAUAAAACGUUGCGCUUUUUAAUAAAUUUUUCUAAGAGCCUAGUGUUCACUAAUGAAAGCAUCAGCCGACCGAAUUCAUGCACUCGUUCGUAUGUCGCACGGUAGUAUAGCGUCCUGUCGGGCAGCUUUCAGAAAGCGACAUCACAAUGGCGACGACGUAGGCACGGACGUGUUCGCGUAUCGUCGCUACAGGACCACCCCGCCUGCCCUAUUCUCAUUUCUUUCUGAACCCGACAGAAGGAGCCCAUGGAUACGGAACAUGUGUUUCUCUCGGGUCGCCGGACAUCUGAAUACAAUGUCGACGGGACAUAAAUUUUUUAACAUAAAUUAAAAGGCGGGCAAGGGAUCGCGCCCACCUCUCUCUCACCAUCCUCCUCGCCGUGCUCCAACGUGUACUCAAGAAAUAAUUGUCAUCCGAGAAGACCCACCUAUCUUUCUUUCUCUGUCCACGUCAGCACGUACCCUUCCUGUCUUCCUCGUUGCCUUCUUUUUAACGUGAAUGAACGGUGUAUUGUAAAGAGUGUUUUUUUUUAUCUUCAUCCAGUCUUCUCUUCUCUUAUGACCCUUCGAUUUUUUGCUUUUUUUUUUUAUGUAACGGUCAAGUGUUCUUUGGUCAUCGUCUUCAAGAUGUGACUUUGCUUUAAUUUAUAUUACGCCACUAAUUAAUGCUACCUGUUUCUAGCUCCUUGAGCAGGUAGAUACGUUCGCUCGAGAGUGUCGUGCAGACAUUUUCAGGUCACUGUUUUCGAGUGUGUUACACUUUGCUUCUUAAAAUGACUUGCAGUUCGUAAUGUUUAUACAAUCUGUGAAUGUUAUUAAAAUUAAAUAAUUUAUUAAAAUUUAUUACAAACUACUACUAUUUUACAAAUUAAAUUUGAAAGAUGCAAAUAAAUAUAUAUAUAUAAAAUAAAAAAUAAAUGUGUAUUAUUUAUUACACACUCGAAAACAGUAACCCGAAAAUGUCUGCACGACACUCUCGAGCGAACAUAUCUACCUGCUCGAGGAGCUAGAAGCAUGUAGCAUUAAUUAUUACAAAAUUACAUAUAUGUAGUCUAGAAUUAUAUAAAAUAUAUAUAUAUUAUAUAUAAUUCUAGAAUACAUAUAUUAUGUAAUUUUAAAUCGAGGACAAAAUCAGGGGAGCUAUAUCGCGUGUUUUCAUUGCGAACAUCUGGCAUUUGCACCUGUUGCCGUAAUGCGAUUCAAAACUAAUCACACCAUUAAACGCGAUCGUUACAUUAAAGUUGAAACACUGAACUGUUCUAAUCAUGCCACUGUUUUUUAUCGUAUAUCAGCAUUUUUUGAAAGUAUGAAUCUCUCGCUAUACGUACGGACGUUUACUAAAAACUCGGCGAGAUUGUAAUCACAGAAUGAAUCGGUAAAUACUGGCGAGUGUUCAAACAAAUAUACCUAUCAAAAAAUACAGACUACAACGGCGUAUAAGCGAUUUGAUGCGCUUCGCACAUCUAUGGAAUAAAAUUCUUCGAUGCAGUCUGCAUUCGAUGCAUUUCGCGGAUCGAGACAUAAACGCACCAAGCGUGAAGUGCACGAACCCACUAUUUCCCACGUUUUUCGACACAUCGCGGAAAUUCUCGUCGAAAAAAUCGGAUUUUUUUUCUCAGCACUUUUCGCUUCUGUUAUUUGAUUCACACCGCGCGAUGUGGUCGUUUUCGGCUGUAGAAAAGGCGACGGGGGCCAAAUCCGAGCGCGCGCGCGCGUGUGCACCAUGCUUUAUUACAAUAACUUCCUCUGAAAUGGGUAUAUAUGGAGACUGGCAGGCGAGCUAAAUCCACGAGGAAAAAUUCUACGCCCCGUCAUUUUGCCCCUCUCUUGGGAAAUGUGUAUUCGCGGCGCCAGUGUUAUGCGAAUCGAGUCGAGAUAGCAAAACAGAAUUUUUCUCCGUCCGCGGCGGAAGAUUUUAUGAUAUGUCUUAAGGCAAAUAAUUCGGCGUACAAUCUUGCGUGCGUAAAUGUAAUGAGGAUGAAAGUUGAGAGUAUUGUCAACUUCUGUUAUUGUUGUGUUUUCUACAUUUACAUAAUAAUAAUUCUUAAAGUUUUCUUGAAAUUAGAAUAAAACACGAAAAAGCGUCUGCUUUUGGUGUACUGCCUUAAUGAACGGUUGUUGGAAAAUUUUGCAUGUAAAAGCGUGUAUAUAAGAGACUUUCGUAUUACGUACUAAUAAAAUCAUUUUUUUGUAUUAAUUCUUAAAUUUUAAAAAUUAGUAGAAAGCUUGCUUUUUUUAAUUAUUUUGUCAAGAUUUCUAUUAUUUUAUAAUUAGUCUUCAAUUUUAAUUUUGCUAACAAAUAAAAUUAUUAUUACAAACAUUAAGAAUAAAAUAAACAACUCAAUUUAUAUUAUGCGAUGUGGUUUGUCGCAAAAAUUUUGAAUUAAGUAAUCAAGUAUCGACUGCACGAAAUAUAAAAGUACACGAUUGGAAAGUACAAAUUCACAUGGCGCGCUAGCUCGUCCGUUUAUUCGGAAAUCAAGCAAAUAACCAUUCCACGCGAAUGGUUUCCGGUUCGUACCGGAGCAUCGUUGAAUCUCCGGUAAAAUCUUUUAGCUGCUCAUCGGGCAUUUUGUGUUAUUCCACACAAGAAAAACAACGAGAGCACGGAUCUUGGCUGAUCGCGAGGGGCGGCCGUUUUCCGCGAUAGCAAGUCGCGCGUACGAACAUGUUUUGUGAAUGCAGGGUCCGUCGUCCGUGGGAUUUCAAUAACCGUUCCAUAAAUAGCUCGCGGGAUUUCGCGGUCCCUCCGCUCGAAAACUCCACGUUCACCACGUUCCGCCUUCGUCUUCCUCGCCGGGUCCCUUCUCGCCGGGUGUUCCUCCCUCCUCGACGUCCCAUUCUGGCAGGACGCCCAUGUAAAUGAAAACAAAUACUUUCCCUGUGCGCGCCGCUUUUAUUGCCUCCUUGAUGCAUGCCUUUAUAAGCGGAACGAAUGGUUAUUACUCGGCCAACUAGGUCUAUACAUACACAGUGCGCAUUUAUACGGCGAAUUCGCAUGCCGCACGGCUUCAUCAUGAUGCGCGAUUUCGAUGCCAUGUCAAAGUGAAUUGCGAGUUGGGAAUAUUUCAUCACGAUGAAAUAUGAUUUUCACUACCUUUUAAAGAUGCACUAAUAACUCGAAUGAUUUGAAUAAGAAAUUUUAUUAUAAAAAUGUUACAUUUUUAAUAAUAGUUUUGCGAUAUUUCAAGACACAUGAGAGAAGUCGAUCAAUUCGAUGAAAAAUAAAAAGUAGAACGAGAACAAUGAUAAAGUUGCAAACUAAUCGCGUGUGUUCUAAUAGUACAAUUGGAACAUCUUCAAAGAAUGACAUUGAUCAAUACAGCUUUUGAGAGACUCGUAUAAAGGUGUGUGUGCUUAAUACUUACGUCGCUAUCCGAUAUUGAUGUAAUAGCAACGUAAUCUUUUGGAACUGACACCAGGAAGAGGUAGGUCAAAUUAAUACUGAAGCACCGAAUAAAAUUUUAUUGGAAAGUGCGCGGAGCAGCAUGAGAUAUGGGUUAUGGGUCUAUGGAUGCCCUCCGCAGGCUUUCCCCCAAUUUUCCUGUAGUUUUAUGUACUUCCCGGUACAUUAGACUUAAUAGCUUUCCUCAAUCGAAAUUUUCGAAUUAUAAGUAGGAUUCCAGGGGUAGCCGGUGCGAUAUGAAGUUGCGAAAUGCCUCUCUUUCUGCAAUUAUUUCCGUAGGCAACUGAUUAUACCGCUUUAUGUUUUUGUUUUUGUUAAAUUGCGAUUAUUAUUAGUGCUCCGACAUACUUGUUACGAAAAUUUUUCUAUUUAUUCAAGAAUACGUGUGUUUAGAAAACGUACAGCAAAGCUACUAUAUCACAGCUUUUUACUUCACGUAGGCAAAUAAUAAUUUUAAGAGAACGAGCAAAUAGUUCUUCAAGUAUAUUUCUUCUUCUCCGUAACGGAUCUAGGCUAACGCCGGUCGUUUUGAAUCGUUCGAGCUGAACUGUAUCCGCGAGUACUCGCAUAAACAGAGGAUGCCCGAAAGAACUAAAGCACAGAAGAAACACGUCCGACAUUUGUAUGCCGCGGCUGGCGAACAUAUUUAGUGCAUUGUCCUAUUUCGCAAAGCCUCCUCUCUCGUAAAGUAAUGUAAUACGGACGCUUGUCGAGAGGCAUGCUGCCCAGGUUGAAUAAGGUUGGGAAGGGGGUGAGUUACGGCAGUGUACAUUAUAUCCCCGGCGGUUGUGCGAGCAGGUUUGAAGACACCUUGGGGCAUCUUAGACCGUAAAAUUAUGCGCUUUCGCUAGUCUCAUUGCUGCAUCAUAGUCGCGGUUAAGAAAUAAGGCUAAGCUGCCGUCAAGUUUGCCAUUUAAUUGCGUCACAUAUGAGUAUCAUGAAUUUAUGGAACGCGUAUUAACAUAUUUCUAGUAUUAAUGUGAAACAUAUUAUCUAAUAUAUUUCAGAUAAAUGACUUAUAGAAAUGAUAAAAUGAGAUAUUUCAGUCCAAAUGACUCUUCAUAUUUUAAUUGUCAUAUUACGUGCACAACUUUGAAGCUAUUAAAUGAUUAAUUAUUAAUUUAUUACUCAAAUUAUUAAAUUAUUGAAACGCUCAUUUUGCAUUUACCGGAUUUAAUUGCAUAAAAAAGAGAGAAGAAGAUAAACGAGAACACUUACGGAACAUGUAAAAACCAAUUAUGAUCAUGAAAUUGCACGUAGUAUGUAUGUUUAUUAUCUGAUUAGUAAACAUGUAUAUAAAAAUAUAGGAAUACAUAAAUUUAUGAAAAAUAAUAGAGCAUCCUAUUAUUUUUUUAAAAUAAUGGACGUCUUAUUAUUUUUUAUAAAUAUUCCAUGAUGGUAAUUUAAUAUGCACAUAAGAAAGAAAACCACAAUUUGGAAUUUUUCAGUAAAUUUCUGCCAGGCGUUCCUCUUUUGUUUCACACGUUCAUAGUCACAGGCUUUUGUUUUAUGGAUCAACCGCAGAUGUUUUUACUCUAAAAAAUCAAAUAAAAAAAUAGUGACGUUUAAUGCUUUUGUCUUUGAUAAAUUUUUAUUUGACAAAGUGCAGAUAUCUGCACCAAGAGUGUCGGAUUAUUUUUCUCUAUGUAUCAGCUAGAAAAUUCUCUUUCUAUGAUUUAUGUUUUUAUUUUGAUGCGACAUUUAAUUAACAAUAAUAAAAAAAUACUUUUUAAUUAAAUUGGUACGUGGCCUAUACUUUCUUUCAAUUUUUAUUAGUUAUGUUGAUCAGUAAUUUAAUUUAUAAACAUUUAUAUUAAAUUAUUAUAAAAAUUGAUAAAAAUUUAUACAAUAGCACUUAUCAUCACGAAAGAAUAGAUUGAAUAAUUCAGUGAAGCUAUAGUUUGUUGCAUAAAUGGAACGUUUAUAACUAAAGAAAUUUGACAGUUUAACGAAGAAAUUGUGUCUGAAAACAGUGAAUUAUUAGAGCAAUUAAUUCUUUGCUGUAAUAAAAAUUGCUAACAUAGUAAGUGUUCUUUAUUAUAAUACAACAGCAAAAAUAUUCGCCACUUAGUAUGUUUUAUUAAAAAUUUUAAUUUAUCGUGUAUCUUUGUUAAAUUACACGUAAAUUCUAAGCGUGUAAAAAGUACAAAAAUUAUACGCAUAAAAAUGUGUAAAAAGUGACCACAUUUUUUAUACAUUUAAGCAUGUAAAAAUUACACACACAAACGAGUAAAAAUUACACAUUUAAGCGUGUAAAAAAUACACAUUUGAAUUUUGAGUGUAAUCACUGUUUGCACAUUUAUAUGCGUAUAAUUUUUGUAUUUUUUAUACGCUUACAUGUGUAAUUUAAUGUUGAUACAUUAAGCGUAUAAAAAGUAAAAAAAUUACAUGUAUAAACUUAAUACGCAAAAAAUGCAAAUGCCUAUAAAAAUGACAUGGUUUACACACUUGAAUUUGCAGUGUACAUAUAAACAAUUCUUAUAUACCUAUUUAUAAUAUUCCUGAAAAUGUGAUACAUAAUGAAGACUAUAUUCUACUUUAUAAAGAUUUAAAAAAUUCCUUACGUAUCAUAAAUUCAAUUAAUAUCGUUGCAAAAUAUAUUUUGAUAUAUAUUUUUUUGCUUCAAAGAAAUUUAACGAACUUUUUUUAGAUUCCUUAUGCCGGAAUAUUUAGUAGAGUCCGUUGCUUCAAAGUGUGCUAUUAAGUAUAAAUAUUUUCUUUUAUUGCUGUAUCUUUCCGUUUAGAUUUUUUUUUUCUUGGAUAUGCGACAGAAACUCUUUGAUCCGCGAUGUGCGCUUGCAUAUAAAAAUUGAUGUAAGUCAAUUGAUGUAAGCCAACUUCAAAACGAUAAUGAAGUUUUCGAUGUAAGUGCAUUUCACACAAAAAUGUUAAAUGCUAAAUCGAAGUACCUACAAGUAUCUCGUUAAAACAUCAUCGCUUAAAACAUUAAUAUCGCGCACAAAAUGGAACAGAGCAAUUUCAUAAUUUUUGGAAAUAAAUUUUUGAUAUAUUUUUAUCAUAAAAAACAUAAUCGUUAUAAUAUACAAUAAUGUUUCUGCACAAUAAAAGUAUAUUUGUUUUAUAUUUGAGAGGCAAAACAUUUGCGAGAUCUUUGCGCAAUAUGCUUGUAUAGAGCAUAUCACGCGGACUGUUAUAAAAUUCAAGAAUUUCGUAAACAUAUAUGAAGGUAAUUCCCUUUGCGAAAUACUGCGCGGAAGUCUAGCAAGCUUCCGCAGAAACUAAGCGUUCUACGGGAUAUAGUUUGAAAGACGUUAAAAUUAUCAUCCGACGUAACAGAGAGUAUGCAACACAUUUAAAUAUAUGUAUUAAAAAUUUACUUUUUGUCACAUGAUAUCAAAAUAUUAUUGAAUCAUGAAUGUUCUAUCGUCAAUAACUAUUCAAAUUUAUCAUUUUUAAUUAUCAAUACGUAAAAUAUAAUAUAUUAAUGAUCCAAUAUGUAUUUAGAUUUAAUAUGGAAUAACGUAGAAAUAAAUUUUUUUGUUUUUUUAAAUUAAAGUUGACACUUAAGGUUGCUAACUAAAAAGUGAGAUAUUAAAAUAUGUAUAAAUUUAUUUUUAAAAGAUAGAAAGUCGAAAGAUUACAUACAUUUGCCGUACAUUUAAUUAUCAAUAGCACUCAAAUGUAAUUUAUAAAUUCAUUUAUAUACAAUUGCAUAUUAUUACAUUUAAAAAUAUUUAUUUUUGUCAGUAGAAUAUGUUUAUCAGUACUUAUUAACUUUGCUCUUCGGUAUUAAAGUUAUAAUGCUAUUAUAAUAUUAUUCUUUUUUUUUAUUAUGAAGGUAUUCAUUUUCGUUUAUUAAGAGCUAAUUAUUUGGCAAUACACGAUAAUGUGUUUUGUUACGAUCUCGCUGCUACUUACGUGAGAUGCAUAAUUUACGCAGGAUGAUAAUCCGCGGAGUUAUCUGUUUGACGUCCUCGUUGUAAACCUUCGUCUGGCUACAGACUACCUCCAAUCAAAUAUACGUUAAGUGCAAUGUCCUUUGCGAGUGAGUCAUGAAUAUUAAUUAUGCCUUGCGAGAUUGAUGUGUGACCGAUAAGGCUUCGGCCAUUAGAGAGGCAGAAUGACGACAGAUUCACGCGCAUAUAUACUGACGAGUCAUAAAAUAUGAAAUUGUCUGUCGGGACUGACUUUUAUUUCACGUUUACGGUUAUUUUCCUGAAAAACGACAGCUAUAAAAUCUCUCUUCUUCUUUGACGAGUGAGAAGGCGACAAUUAGACAAAAACUCGAUAAACCAGACACGAAUUUCUCAUGAGCCUCAUGGAUAUCGAAUUUUGCUCUUGUUUUAAUUCGUCUUCAUCAUUUAUUUGUAUAGAUGUUAAUUUAUAAGAACAAUUAUUUUGUAUAUUAAAUUUAUCUACGAUAUUCUUUAUGUUAAAUCUUAUUAUAUAGUAAGUUAUACGUUAACAUUACUAUUUGCUUUAAUAUCAGUGUGAUACAUUUACUCUCUGAGCUCUUGAAGACUGAAAUUUAAUAUUACGGAGCCGUAUACUUUAUGUUUACUUCUUGUUAGUAAAUGACUGGAACAGGAAUAUCCGUUAAUCUCGGAGACUUUUAUCGCUGUAUAUAACUCGCUACUUCGUUAAUUCUAUAUUUUUCUAAAAGUAGAGUUAUUAAAAGAUGCAAAUAAAAAAUAAAACAGUUAUACGUGCUUACGUAAAUAUUUAAGAAAUGUACAUUCGACUGUUUUUAUUGAAAUUUGCUUCAAAAUUUUUCGUGUAAAGACAGAAUAUAAAAAAAAAGUUUUACCAUUACACGAAUCGGUGUUCCACUGAUAUUUUUCUAUUGUUACUUUAAAACCUUUGUCGCUAUACAUGUCGUUCUGCAUGAGAACGUACGAAUUAGUUGAUUAAAUAAACCAUAGAAAAUAGAGAAAAAUUCAAUUUGACUUACGUACUGUCGGUGCCCUGACGCGUUUGCCCUUCCCGCAUCUUGUUCUCUAUCCUCUUUUUUUUUUGCUAUUUUUCUCGAACCCGUUUUUAAUAUUGCUCCACCCUUCGUUUAUACAUAUGUAUGAAGAGAUUUUAAUGUUCUUCCGACGUGCGGGCUGCCGACGCGGCACACCAACAUUAUUGCACCUAACACUCUUCGGUCUGAUGCACGUGGUGCACGGUUGUCCUCCCCCCCUCCCCUCUCUUUCUCUCAGGUUCCACAAGUACUAUAUAUCCUCCCAUACUUGACUACCGGUCCCCUCGAUCUUAUUAUACUGUAGUAGCAUAGAUUGAAAACUGAUCUCCUGACGGAACCGACGACGAAACUGCUACUUUCUGAAUAAUUAAUGAAAAAUUAUUUAUUUGGUAUUCAAAGAAGCACUGGAACGUACAACGUACGUAAAGGGAUAGGAAAGGCAAUUAGAAGCAAUAAUAUUCUAACAAAUAUGAAUAUAUUUUUUUAUAAUAAUUAACCGAAGUAAAUUUUUAUAUCAUGUUAUAUAUAAUACGCACUACGUUAUAUAAUAUUGCAUUUAAUAAUGCAGUUUCGUGAAUUUGUUAUAACUUUGUAAAUUUACGUACGCACAGAGAGCAAAUUUUUUAUUUUUUUAUUUUAUGCGUGCCGAAUAUUUGACAAUAGAAACUUCCGGGUGAAACAAUUAUUGAUUUGAUUAAUAUAAAAAUUUCUGAUAAAUUAAAUUUAUUGCUCUUUUGUUUUUAAUAAUUUCUUCUGCACUACUUCCGUUAAUUUUUCAUAACGGUAACAACGAAUAAUAGAAACUAACAAAAUGAAAAUGAUAUAUUUACUGCGUUGUUAGCCUUAAUGCAAUGGCAACUACAGCUGGAUCGUAACUUAAUCUAUCCCUACAUGCAUUGGCUCGUUAAAGUGUAAUCUAUUGCGAAGGUACGUGAGAGAGAAGUAGGAAAAUGCAUUCCCCAGAUGAAGUUUCGACUGUGGCAGUGCGGUAUAUGCGCAUAAGCUGACGGUAACGGUGGCGAAUAGGCGCGCGGUAAAGGUACUGCGGAUUUAUAGGACGGUUAAGCGAUGUCACGCGGCGCGUGAUUUAUGCAGCGGCGUAAGUCGUCGGGUAUUAUGUAAUUAGCGGUAAAUCUGGUAAUGCGCGGCGCGGCAGCAGCCGAGUGCCGCGGUCGCUCCAAUUCCUGAGCCACGAACCAAUCGCGUUAAUGCCGUAUGCGGUACUGCCGUGCGCUGCAUCCGCGCUGCACUUUCGUACCACGGUUCGCCCACUGAAGAUAUUUAAGUGGUUAACCAGCUAACUGGUCCGAUCCCAAGCCACUCGCGUGCACGCCGCCAAUUUCGACCAACCGACGAAUCGACGGUCUCGAGCCAUCGUCGAAUAAAUUAUUUAUCCCAUUUAGCUUCUAAUCGACGAUGAAGAAUCACAAAUUCAUACUAUGAUAUUCUCUACAGACAUGGCUCACCAUCUUCUCGCGUAUGCUCCUCGAAUCCUUUACUUUCUUGAGCUUAUUCGCCAGUGUUGUACACACGUACACUCUUCUCUCUCUCUCUCUCUCUCUCUCUCUCUCUCUCUCUCUCGCUUUUACGACCAUGCGUCGGCAUUCUCUUGUACGUUUCAUUCAGUUUUCUCGCGCGUCGACGAUUUAUUGGAUUCUCAUUGGCCGAGCAUGCCUCCGCAAGAGCGCCGUCUAAAUUCGAAUCGUUUCUGACGAACGAGUGGGCGCCAGGAUUAAUUGCUUUCAUGAACAGGUGGAUGUGGUUGCCGUCGAAGCUACCUCAAAUUCGACCGUUCCCCCCCCUCCCCUUCUCUCUCUUUCUCUCUCAACGCGAGUGUUGCGCGUCGCAUCGCCUUCUCAGCUCGUUUCGAUGGGAUUGUCGACACGUUUAUUGGUCAAGUCGCGACAGCCGGGAUUGUAUCGUGGGAAAAAACCAAUCACCGUGAUGCGCCGGAAAAACGCAUCUGCAGCAAAACUGCGUGCUAUACAAUUGAAAAACGACAGGUGAUUUGUUGCGCUCGAUAGCCCGGUGGAUAACUUUUUUCUGUUAUGAUGUAACAGACGGAUAAUCUUCUUUUAUAGUAAUACAAUAUCGCCAACAUCCGCUAUGCAACUUUUUUAGCUAUUUAUAUAAAUAUUAAAUAAAGUUUUUAUAUUUCUCAUGCAUGUUCUUUUGUUAUUCGGCAAAUUAAAUGGAAGAAGGACCGCACGGUCAUAGCAAGAUCUUGCUGAAAUAAUAUUCCAUAUUUUUACAUUACAUACAGUUUCCAAUUGAUUCAAGCUGCGGUCUUUUUUGUUAUUGUUUUUAACAUACGUUUAGUCUCUCGAUGAUAUCUAGAUUUUUCAUUUGUAUGUGUAUCUCCGUGAGAGAAAAAUAUUCUACAUUUUAAAUUGGACUUAAAUAUUUAUUAAUAUUUAUUUGUGAACGAGAUAUUUCGGCAAUUUCCUCGACAUUAUACAAAUUAUGUGUGUUACAGUUUAUCUUACAUUAGUCGCUAUUUAAAUUCUAUCAAACGUUUAGCGCUACACUUAGCGAAUCCCUCUCUAUUAUUCUCUUGCCCUCAGUAAGUAACUUAGUUUAUUGCAGUCCCCAUUACAUCAUUUCCGUAUGUGUUAACGCGAUGUGCCGCACAAUGGAUGCUCUUCUCAAGCGCCGCUACAACGUUUCAUGCACAAAGGAUCCUUCGACUCUUUUCCUCUCUCAAGUAGUAGCUCACUGUGUUCUUAUGCAGCACCAGAAAUUACAAAGGAUAGCUGAUGAACUUGGAUACAGUCUACCGUCCUCCUUCAGAGACGAAGACGCUUUCUCCUUGCGCAGCAGAACGCACAGACGUGCGUCAUCCCUUAUCUCUCCUCUUAAUGACAUAGAACUUAAUUGGUGCAGCACUCAACACUCUCGAAUUUAUAGAGAUCCCCGUUGGUGUCGUCAUUAAUAUGAUGCAUUACCCGCUCCGUCCCGCCUCAGACUUCUCCACUUCAACUCGGCGCAACUCCACUUCAUUCUACUUCAUGUCGCUCCGUAUAUAUGGGGUGUCCUACUAGGAUUACCAUCUUUAAUUCUCGAAUUAUUUUAUUGAGAUAAAAUCUUUUUUUUUUAACAAAAUUUUAUGUUUAACAAAAAUCUUGUAACUUUUACAAAGUUAACUGUCCAAAAUAAUGUUUUAAUUACAUUUUUGGGAUAACCAAACUCUUUAUCAAAUUUAUUUCAAAUUUAAUCUUCAAGUUUAAUUUGAUUUAAAUUUUUGAUAAUAAAACUAAAAAAAUAUUAAGAUUUAUAAUUUUAAAGUUAUACAAAAAUUAAUAUAAUAUAAUCAAUUUUUUAUUUAGAACGGAUUCUAAAUUUGUUCAAGCAAUCAGUAAAAUCUGUAAAUUGUCAUAAAAUGUGAUAAUUUUGGAACACCAAGUGUAUUCGUUAGUCCCUCUUGACCCUCGUUUGCAAUGAGAACACGAUCUCUCCGGAAGGUUGUCUCACUACCAAUCGUGUCACCCUGUUCGUUCCCUGUCAAAAGGCUUAUUUCUUGAGAUUGGCAAACACAAUUGAAUAUGACAAUUCAAAUCACGCUUGAUUAUUCAAUAAAAUACAGCUAAUAUUACUAAUUACCAUAUUUAUCAUAUUAUGCUGUACUGAUAAGAAUAUUUUCAAAAUUAUCUAUGGUUCUGGAUAGCGUAAAAAAAUAUAUAUACAACAGAAGUACUCGACGUAAAAUUACACAUUAUGUCUUAAUAGCAAAAUCUCAUUUACAGUUUAUCUAUAAAAUAAAGAAAAACGAAAAGUCAGUUGAGAUAAGUCGCAAGGAAAUGAGAUCGGUGUGUGAAUUAAGUUUUUCGACUCUCUUGUCGUAAUUCCUAAACUUUUAAAUCUACGCCUCGAUAAAUUCUAGGAACUUUAGUAAGGAUGUACUGUCGCGAGAACGGUGCUGGAAAAAGUCGAAACUUUCGUACGCUUGGGAAUUAUGAGGAAUUAAGAAUUUGGACUUAAGAAUUUAGGUGCUAACCUACUUACGCUCAAUUGAAGAUUUCAAGAAAAGAACCUUUAAAAUGCGAUAAGCACACUAACUUAAGAGUUUUUGCUUUAUACUGCGAUAAUUGUGUUUGAUGGAUAAGAUAAUUGUGUUAUACAAGUAAUAUACAGAGUGGUCGUUAACUUUAAAAGAUUUUAAGGGAUGAUUCCUCUCACUAUAAUCCAAAACUUCAUACGACCACAUGUCCGAAAUGGCUUAUUAGUUUUAAAGAUACAAGGUGUCGAAGUUGAAGAAAAAAAUUUGUUUUUUUAUAAAAAGUUAAAUAACCACUUAGGUUAUUUCAACUUGCUGAAACUUUGUAUACUUGUGUUUGAGGAACAUGAAAAUAACUCGAAUUUUUGAAAUUUUUAGAAAAAACGAAAUUUUUUGUUCAACUUUGACACCCUGUAUCUUUGAAACUAAACUAUUUCAGACAUACGAUCAUAUGAAGUUUUCAUUUUGAAUUAGUGUAUGAGAAAUUACCUCUUAAAAUCUUUUAGAGUAUGUAAGAGUCAUGUACAGCAUAUCAUCUUUAUUUGAAGAUGUGAGAAAGAUAUUUUACGCGAACUUACUUUUAGAUGUUAAUCUACUUACGUGCAAUUUAGAAUUUAAAAAAAGUACAUUUAAAUUGUAAACCUAGAACAUUUGCGUUUUACGAUAAUCGUAUUUGCCGAAUAACUGCGUUUUAUAAGCAAUAUAUAUAUAUAUAUAACAUAUACAUACUAUAACACUCCAAGUGUCUAAAAACAAAAAAAAAAAGAUUUUGUGCCAACUUACUUAAUUUUCUCUAAAUUACGUUAUCAAUUUAUAUUAUUCAAUUUAUAUUUCUCAUGCCAGAGCGAAAUGUUUGAUGAACAUUUCGUAUCUUCGAAACUCGUGUUUAGGCUAAAUAGGUCGUUUAAUAGCAAUUCGCUUUUGUCAGUAAUACACAUUAAUAUCGACCGUUAUUUGAGCUCAUUCACACUCGUAAUUGCAUCAUCGUUUAAAUCCGUUCUCUAUCGAUUUGGUAAAAGCCGUCCAGAUAUGAACCGUAGCCAGAUUUGCGGUUUACCACGAAGACCGCAGUUCCAUCACGAUUUUUACGGUGACAAUGACAACACUUCGCGGUGUUUAAUUAUCCUUUAAAGCAAACCGCCGCAAUUUGCGAAUGUACGGCCGUUAUUUGACAUGUUACAUAUAUUCCUUGUAUCCCAUUUUACUAUAAAUAACAACGGAUUCUGGUAUAUGUUACUAUUAAUUUUUUUAAGCUUAUCUACAAUUUCGAAUUUUGACGAAAAUUAUUAUCGAUAAUCGAUUUCUAAGAUUUUGCGUCACAUUCCGUCUUAGAAUCUACCCUCUUAACGUCAGUGAACCCUAUUCCUGUCAGGACGAACUCACUGUUAGUAUGUGAGAUGAAUUUAUACGAUGAGUGUCUAUUCGACUUCCUUGUCCUUUCCUAUAUAUAUUCUCUGACUCUCUCUUUCUCUCUCCUUUCCCUUUCCUCCUUCUGCUUCUGCUCCUUGGUAACUUGAAGGAUCGACCUGUCUUCCGGAAUUUCUCCUUCGCCCCGACAGCAAUGCUUGUUUGUCUGCUUGUCACGAGAAAUGGACAGACCAUGUCGGUAGCUACUCGACGCGACUAUGGAAUUCGUACUGAUGCUUAAUUUUAGACGAUGGAGCGGCUUUACACAGUGGACUCUCUCUCUCUCUCUCUCUCUCUCUCUCUCUCUCUCUCUCUCUCUCUCCUCAGUACAUUUGGUCGCCCGAAAGCGGCCGCAAGCUUUACAAAAUGUAGAUGCGUGCGAGUCACGUGCGACGGAUGUUGCUUUAUGACAUACAUUAUUCUGCGAGGAGUGAAUUAAACAGUGUGUACUACAAGACACUUUCUACUCCCCAAACGAGUCGCUCGGCAAAUUGUCUCGACUUUCUAAAUGCACUGCAUAUCCUGUAAAUUGUUGUAACACGUUACGACAGGAGAGGAUCCAAAAUUUAAUUCGGUUAUAUUUUAGCUUCGUACAGUAUAUAUGUGCAAUGAGAGAUAUACAUAUAACUCUUACAAGAAAAGGGGAAAUUCUAUUGUCCUUGUAAGAAUAUUAAUUUAUUAAUCACUGUAUGAAUCACAUUGUUUCUGUGAACGUUGAUAGAAUAUAACAACGUAAAAAUAUGCAUUAGAACGAAUAUUGGAACGAAACAUGUUACUCCAAUAAAUGUUACAUAGUCACUGGUAUAUAAAAAAAAAACAUAAUCUUUUCUAAAAACAUAUGGAAACCGCGAGAAACGGUCUGCCAGCGUGAUAUAGGAACUGUUUCGCAGAUAGAAUCCGGAAGAAAGUUUCCAAACGCGUUUAAAUGAGUCUCGAAUGUGAACGGCACCCUUUUCGGCAGAAAGUUACGCGUGCUCUAGAGCCAGCGUGUGCACGCUCGGUUGGAUAUCAGAUCGAAAGUUCGUGUCUCUCCUAUUUUCCGCGAGAAUUUUCGGCGUAGCGCCCGCCCGCGAAAUCCUAGGAGAUUUCGAAGGCGGGGUUACGGAGCUUGAGCUACCUCGAGCGGAAAAUUCGACACGGUUGCUCGAUCAAGCGAGUCGGCCGUAGACGAUUAGGGGAAGCUCCCAGAGGCGAACUCUAAGGGCAAUCAAGCUCUCCGCGAUAUGCCCUCUAUUAUGCGUUCCAAUCCGCGUUGCGGCCCGUUUAAACAGGAUUUUCCUGAAAAUGAUCCUUGGAAAUGCUCGGCAUUAACGCCGGAUUUAUAGGUCAAUGAGCGUUGAAUGCGGAAGUGAUAUUCUAACGCGAAGACGCUAUUAGAUCGCUGUACAAUUUAGUUAUGAUGAAUUACCAUUUGACUAGACUGCAGUCACAAGUCGACAAGUUUGUCUUUACACAUAAAUUGGUGAAGAUGACGGUUUUGCUACAAUUAAUCAAUAUUUUUUUAAAUAUUUCGUAUUGUAAAUAUUUUGUCAUCUAGUGAGUCUUAACAGAAGCAUAUCGUUAACGUUUUUGUUUUCUGUCAUUUUUUUUAAGUUUCCUCUUUCUUACGAGUUUUGGUGUAAGUGCGCGAAGGCAUUUGGUUUUGUUAUGUCGGAACAUAAAUUAAGUUUGCACAUGACGUAAUCUUCUUUCAGCAUAAAACUUUGCAAAAGAUCUGCACUUUGCUUGCCUUCCGUUUCCAAUCUUUCUCGAGACAUUUCUAUUUUUAUUAAGAAAAACCGCGUUUCUCGCUCGUCCAACGAUAACAACACACAGAUUAACAUUCUUUUUAGUUUCUCGUGACUUGAUGACACAGUUGAAGAAAGUACGGACGUAACUUCGCGCGAAAGUUUUCUCGCGACGAUCGCGCUGUCUCCGAUGCAGCGCAAAGAGAACAAAUUAUCCCGCGGACGCACGUUGACAGGUCUGCAGCCAGGAACUCUCCGGGAGAUAACGGAGCGAGAAUCAACGAAGUAAGUAAAGAUGUCUUCAAUUCACGUGGAAAUACCCCUAGCGCUGAGUAAAUCGAGAGAUUGUCGGAGACUUUAAUCAUCGCUCACGAGCAUACGGGCAGAAAGCGAAGCCUCGGGGGGCCAAACUACGCACUCUCAAGCUGGAAAUUUGACGACUGCUUAAAGCAAUAAGGAGGUAACGAUCGUUACAUCAAAAGUUUGAGUGGAACGGUUGCAACGAUACGCACCACGGUAGAAGCGCGCAAUUUCGUUUAAUUCGUCGCAGUUGAACUCACGCGUGUCUGCUUAAUAUUCUUAGGGAACAAUUCUUUUUUAUAUUCAUAAUGGAUUCUCCCGGAGUUUCACUCCCACGACACUUUCAUUAGUAACGAAAUUGUGCCAAGUACAAAUAUCUUUCAGCUCUCCCGAGAGCGGAGCGUCGCGUGUUAAUUGGCAAGGUCCGACAUCGGGGAUGAAUGUGCGCCACCCUCGCGUACCUCCUCGAGGCUGGGGUCAGUGCCGAGGGGUUCGGUGGAUGAUGAUCGAGAGAUAGACAAACUGUACUGGACAGCGCACAUUCGUGUGACCCUCGAUGUAUUCGCACGCGUAUGCGUCGGACACAUAUUUCCCAUGUGGCUCGAGCACAUUCCCUUAGUUAUGUUUGCUGUCGACAUGUCGCAGAAUUUUUCGUGCGCGAAAUUUUAAGGCGGGCUUCGAAUCGCAAAGCCGGAUGACAUGGUUACCACUGCAUGCGUUAGAUUAACGUGACGAUGUAUAGUAGAAAUGUGUGAUAUAGAUGCAACGUGUAUCUUUUUUGUAAUUAAAAUAGUACAGAAAGGCAGAGAAAUCUGUGGAUAAUUUUUUUGAAUUUUUUAAUUUGUUAAUUUUUAAUAGUAAAAUAUAAAUUUGCACGUUAAAAGAAAUAUUAUAUGAAUUAUUAUUGAAUGUUUUUACAAGAAAAAAACAAAUUUGUAUCGCACUUUGAAGAUAUGUUUUGCAUCGCGAUUAAGCCAUUGACAAUCGUGUUUUCGACUGCAACCAAAUACACUGUCGGCAAACGCAAACGAUAAGAAUACCGCAUUUUAAACGCAGCGCUUCGGAGCUCAAUAUGAUCCGUACAGAACUCUAAACUUGCCAGAGCCGUCAUCCCCGACUGACGAUCGCGCAAACAUUUGCGCCCGAAACUUUCGUUCCUGGCAUUAACCUGGAAAAUUCUGAAGCGAUAGCACCCAAGUCUCGGGCGCGGGCUGAUGAUAAUUACGACGGAGAUUAGCUCUCGCGGUAAUGAAUAUUCCAGCAGAUUGGCACCGCGAGACUGGAGAGACCGCCGUGCUCCCGCAGGCGGCGUAAUUCGUGAUCGAUAAUAAUUAUGCCAGGCCGUCGCCUCGCGUCACUUCGCGCAACGCCUAUCUGCACAUGGCAAUGCUUCUCUCUCGCUCGCUCUCCCCCCUUUCUCUCUUUCUCUUUCUCUCUCUCUCUCUCUCUCUUCCUCUCUAGUUCCGACCGUUAUUUCGAAGCCGGGUAUACAUACCUGUCGGCGUGUAACGAUUCGAGGGGAAGGGGGUCGGCCGGAAAAGCGAAUUUCCACUGCGCGUCCCCGUUUUGCCCUCCCUCUCUCCCCGGUAUAAAGUGGGUUAACUUUGCGCGCACGGCCCAAUCUCGUCAUCGGGGGUUGCACGAGUAAAAGUAAUUGGAACAUCGGAAACGCGCUGCCGUUUCGUUUUCACGAUUUCUGUCCGUUCCCUUCUGCCUCUUCUACUAGUUCUCUACGUGCACGCUGGCUAAUUUUCCCUCACCGUUCCUUUUUGUAUCUUCUUUUUCUUUCUCUCUCUCUCUCUCUCUCUCUCUCUUUCUUUCUCUCUUUCUCCCUGUUUCUCUCGAGCUGUUUUUUGUGCUUGGAUCAACGCAAUUCGUUAAACAUGCCGUAAUUAAAUUAGAGUUGGAAAAUAUGUCGAAGCAUCGAAACAAUAUAAAGACGUAUUUGAUUAAAAAUGUAACCGCUUAAUAGGUUUUUUCAUUGAUAUCGGCACAAUUAUGUUUAUCUUUUUAAUUCAAAACUUUUUAUAUUUUACAAGACUUCACUAACAGUUUUACUCUUUACGUAUAAAUUCAUCUCUUGAAUUAAUGAACUAGAAAACAGUUUUAACAAUUUGAGACAUAAAUUUGAUAUAGCACUACAAUAGAAUUGUAUUACCUAAUUCUCGGGCUCAUUUAAUUUUUUAGUAUAGACUGUUAAACUGUUAUCAGUUAUUUUGUAAGCACUAAAAAUGAAUUUUAUGUAAUUUAUAAAGACAAUUAUUGCUUCCAAAUUAUGAUACAUACUUCAUCUUAUAGCUACUUAAAAGCAUAUAAUUUUAAUAAUUAUCUAUGUAUAUCGAUAAGAUGACUCUUUUACAUCUUGCUGAUAUAUUGGAAAUUGAUACAUAUAUGAUAGAUGUAAACUUAAUUGUUUAACACAUGGCACAAUAUUAUUUCUAUUGUAGUAUCAAGAAAAAUGUGAUAAGCGAACUGUAUAUAAAUAUUUUAGAUAAAACGUUUUAUUUCACGUACAAAUAAUUAAUGCAUAACUAAAACUGGGUAAAAUUCCCAAACGUGUUAGUGAAAAUAAACGGAAAUACGAUUUAAAAUUUCACUAGCUACUCAAAGUUUGAUGAAGAAUAUUGACCGCGUAGUUUUAAUAUUCAAUUUUUUAGCGAUAUUUGUGUACCACCAAAAUUUGAAGUUUUUGCCGACAAAGAUGAUUUUAUCUUCCAAAAUUUUCAUUUAUAUCUUGCCUUUUAGUUGUACCCCCAAUCAUUUUCCUCAUUAUCGAUGUUGCAACCGCAAGCCUUUAGUGCUUUAUAACCCCAUUACAACCGUAUUUUAGGAUGCGAAGUAGAAUAAUGUUGAUUUAACUUUUCAUUCAACAAAAUAUUAAUAUAUAAUAAUGAUGAAAUGAAAAUGGAAAUAAAACGUUUUAAUAAUAUAGAUCUGAGAAGCAUGAUUUUUGAUAAAAAUAUUGAAAUAUUUACGAAGAAGUGUAUUUUCUGCUAUCACUGUUCAGUCUUGUUAGACGUGAGAUAUACGAGGUGUAAUUAUUUAUAAAUCACGUGCACGAAGAUAAUAUGUUAGCAGACAUCUAAUUAAGAAGAAAAAUAAUACGGUUACGUUAUUACAUCUUAUGUCACGUCAAUAUAGAUCCGCUCGAGUUAAUCGUAUCGUACACUGCAAAGAGUAAAAAUAGCCUAAUUGAAACAAAUGUAGUGUGUCCGAGUUUUGAAGCACUUUAUCCACCGUAUUUGCGUGUAAAUACCGGCGCGCAUUAAUCUCGACGGGGCUCGGGAGUUCCACGCUCGCUCGCAUAAAGUCAAUAUCAAACCGUGUUUUCGGCGCAGUGGAAUAAGAGUCGAGCACGGGAAUAUAAUCUCGUUGGCCGAUUCCCAUCCGGCGCAGCGCUGACAAAUGACUCCUCGGCUUGAUUACUGUUGGGAUUUUAACGCGAGCUUAAUUAGACGGUGUAGCUCCCCAUGACUGAUCGACCGAGCAACGAAAUGAUCCUCCUCUCUCCCUUUACGCUGGUGUCGAUGUAUCAACAUUAGUUCGUAACGAGCGAGCACCUCUUGGAAGGAUCACCCAAGGAGCGGUUCCUCUUUGCCGAUUUAAAUCACCGGCUAUCGCAAGCGCGUGCUAAUUAGAGGUAUGCCGUUACUCUUCGCCAGCGGAUCUCAUCCUUUAACUUUACCUUCCGUACGCCGGUGCUAAUAUUUUUGUACGUGGUUGAAAGUAAAUUUACCGAGCAGUCAGCUGUAUGAACCUUUUAAAAUUUUACAAUACACUUAUAUAUUUACAAUUAUAUUUGUAACUUUAAAUAUACAUUCUAUAAAUAUAAUAAUUCACAUAAUCAGACAUUGUGAUAAAACACAAUUAAAUUUUUGAAGAGAGAAUUUUAAUUUCCUGCAGUGAUUUUCGUUGAUAAUCGUUCCGAUCACGAUCGCUGUUUGCAGCGUGUAUCGCGUUAUUUACGUAAUAAAUAAAAAUUCUGUGCGAAACGCAUCUGCAAGCGUACUAAAUUCUCGUUCAUUUGAACACCGAUUAUCCGAAACGAUGAUCAUACGAGGCGGCAAUUAAUAUAUGCGCGAAUUAAUCGCGGUAUUUAGCAAGGUACACACGCGGUAUCUCUGCAGUUAUAAAUAAAUAACACGAAAAUUGUAUUCCCGCAUUAAAUGGAUAACCGAGGAAAUUACAACCUUUCCAAAAGUGCGCCGCGAUGAAAAUUAGGCGAUGAAAUCGGGACGAUUGAAGCUCAUCGUUAAUUAACAAUUAACGGCGCGCAGCCUCUAAUAAUCUUACAGUCACUUCGGAAGUAAAUUCCUAUUAAUUAUCAUGAAGUAAUUUAAAGUUUAAUUAGACGUUUAAAGAACUUUUAAAAUUAUUAUCGACGCGUUCUUUGGCUGGUUAAGAACGGUUCCAAAGUUUCGUUUGGAAAUUAGCAGUUACUAUUAUCGAAUUUCCAUAAGGCUUCUUCGACUCGCCGUGCCGAUUUUCAUUACGUCACAUGAAAAUCUGCGAACGCUCGCUCGCGAUGUAUAUGUGUAUAUGUGUAACAGGUGUUCCGACACGUAUUAUAUAUUUAGAUUUAAUUCGACAAAUUGUACAUUCAGAUUUGAGGAGGCCUUGCACGAGCUCGAUAGUCCCUGCCUCUUUCUCACUCGACGCGCACCCGCGAGUUAAUUACGAUCCUUGAAAUUAAUCAAGGGAGCCGCGUUAUAAAAGAGAUACUUCACCCCCGACUGUAAUACGACCUUUCCUCUACGGCCGGUUAUUUGUUCUUGUCUCGCAAGAGCGCUCUCCGGAUAGAUACGUUCGGCCAAACAAGAAUCUUCAUUAUUCUCUCGAAAGUUUUUAAACAAGUUUCAUUUACCCGUAAGAAAGUUAAUUUGCGCUGCGCCAGUGGCACGAAUGAUUUAAUUACUUAAUAAACUGUGUCGCUUUACGAGCCCGGACUACCGCGGAGAGUACCGCGGAGUAUCGCGGAGUAUCGCGGAGAGGAGACGAGAAAGAAAGCGACAGGCGAGAAGUUUUUCCUUUUGUCGCAAUUUUACGCGCGGAUUUGAAUUGUAGCGUGGUAACAGACUGAAGGUGGAUCGAAAAUUCUGGAUACAAAAGCGCGGCGCGUUUUCUCCGCGUGUUACUCCGUUACGAAACUGCUCUUCCAUCUUAAUCGGAAUUGUUGCGGGGACGGGUCUGAUGAAACGUUAAUCGCGAAAGCGUCGCGAGCCCGGGCAGGAAGCGAUUCAGUUUGAAGCGGCUCGUGGACUUCUUAAGCGCAUGCAAAAGGGAAGAGUGAAAAGACUAAAAAGGGCGAAAAGAGCGAAUUGCCUUUUUUUUUCAGGCCGUCGCAUCGAUCGCGCGGGGACGCAUCAGCUGGAAAGUUAACCGAAAGUUCUCGUCUCGCGUGGAACGGGACUCUCCGGAGUGGGAAGAACGAGUCGUUAAUUUCGUCAUUCGUUCCGUCCCGCGGGCUCCCCGUCGUUGUUCCUCAAGGUUUACAGGCCCUAACUUUUCGUCCUUAACUCGUUAAUUAAGGACGAAAGCGUGACGGCGGCGGGGCAGCGCGGCGUAGCGCGGUACCGAGGUCGAAGAAGCGAAGUUUUAAUAACAUUACCGUAAUAAUACCGUCGGUCCCGCUCCUACUUGCGUAGCGUGGCCUAAAUUAUCAAAGGAUCCUUCCACCUCUUUCUCUCUCUUUCUCUCUCUCUCUCUCUCUCUCUCUCUCUCUCUCUCUCGUUUCCCCGCCUUGCCACUUCCAUUCGCUCGCUUUUCUUCAUUGCGACGAACUUCCCGAUGCUUUACAAUCCGCACGGAAUGGAGUUUAAUAUAUCUUGGAUUUCACGAAACACUAGCUCCGAUGACGGCCGGCCGACUCGGCGUCGUCGCCUUUGGCACACGAAAAUCGAAAAUGUAAGGAAGGAAUGACAAUCGAGAGGGGUAGAAGGAUGAGGCAGAGAGAAAGUGUCAUUUUAUCUACCUACGUACUGAAAUUGAGUUUUUUGAAUAUUAAGAAAUUUAAAGAUAACGCAGAUUUUUUAGUAACAUGUGCUUCAACGAAAAUUGGAAAAUAAGUAGAAAAACUAAAGAUGAAAUAUAAGUCGGUUUCUGCAUAUUAUGGCGCUUACAAAAGAAACUCAUUACGAGACGAGAAUAAUAUACACAAUGUAGCGGAUUUGUGUGUAUGUACCGUACCAUUCCAUUUCCAUUUAUAUAAGAAUUUCUUGAACAGUCUAAAGUCUGUUUUUCCAAAGCGAAUAUUUUAUAUAGGAAACGCCAAUUUUUUUUUCACACACAAUUUAUUAUUAUCCAAUAUUAAUAGUCUUGUACUUCUAUGUUUAAAACUUAAAUUAAAACUCUGUAAAACAAAGUCCUCUUGAUAUUCAAUGAAGAACAAAUUUACAAAGUUAAUAAGUUACUCCUCCUAAAUUAAUUCUUUGAUAAUACACAUUUUUUAUAUCACAAUAUUGAAGCAAUUACUUUUCUCAAAGGUAGCAUCCGAUACGUCUUGCAUGCAAAGAAUGUAGAGAAUAAAAAAUAAAUAUAAAAUAAACAUAAAAGUAAUGUUGUAAAAAUGGAGACUUAAGAAACGUGCCGAUAAACCAUUUUAUCAUUUUCGUUAUAUAUACAUAGCGAGUAUAUAAGCGAUUGUAUAGCGUAUAGUGCAUGAAAGGGAAGGAAGAACGAAAUAGGGUGGAGGGUGUCGCUUCGUUUUGCGCGUUCGGAGAGAAAUUACUCGAUCGAAAGGGAUGGCACCCCGACAUUAUCUCGCAAUUGUGCGAAUUCCGUCGAACGCGAAGUUUCCGCCGAACAUCAUCGAGUUUCUGCUAGGAACCCCUCGAGAUUCGAAUCUACGAAAAGACCGAUAAAGAAAGGAGGAUACUGGGCGUUUUUGCUGAGUGGCGGCAGGGACGACGCGCGAGAUUUACGUGGAACCACUCGCGGGGGCGGAGGGUGCGAAGAGAAACGGAUCGACCAAGAGGACAGGAAGGGAUAAAGGACGCUUUUUACGUCGCGGAGAAUCCUACAGAGAUGUCGUUCUCCGGUGGAGCGUCGUAAUAAUCGUAAACGCCAUUCCGAGAUUGCCGUUCCGCAGCUGUAACGUGCGCGCGCGCGCUUGAACUUCUCAUAGCUGCAGCUGCAGCCUGCAUCCGGCAAUCCAGGUGAUACCGUCCCAGAGCCGCGCUCUCGUAAUUUCAGUCUUAUUGUCCCCACUUUCGCAAUUAGUAGCGGCUACGGGACCGUCGUUCUCGCUAUCAACAGGUUACGCGUCGUCAGUCUUCCUCGGCGGGUCCUUAAUAAAAACGUUCUCGUACACUCUCUUCCCGUCUCUAUCUUUUCCUGUUCGCAUCCCUUCCCCCCACCUUUCCAUCCGGUCUGCGUCUCUCUUGCUUUAUCUCGUUCCACCGUCGCUUCAUCUCUUUAACUGUGUCCCAUCCGAUGCGACACGUGACGUGAUGCCUUAUCUGCUGUUAUCUCUUCCCCCCUCUCUCUCUCUCUCUCUCUCUCUCUCUCUCUCUUUCUCGAUUCGAUAGCGCGUUGCUAAUUACAUCGUUCACGGGAACAACCGGCCUUUUGCUUUGCAAUACGAAGCUUCCACGUGACUUGGUAUUGAUACGCUCUGUUCUAAUUAAAAUAGUAGGUUUACGAAAUUCGAGACAUACAUUUUUUUUAUGAGCGAGUCGAGCGUUUCAUCUUUUUCAUUGGUAUAGCGUACAACGAAUUUUAUUGUAUAUUGCAUUUUAACAACUGAGUACAAUAAAAUUUGUAAAUCUUGUGAGAGUAAACAAGCUGUAAUAAGCGUGAUACGAUUCGGCACAAGUAGUUUUGACAACGAAAGAGACCGGAUGUCAUUGACCUUACGAUUAUUGCUAACGCUUUUUAAAUUUUACGCUCUCUUUCAGUUAUUACAUUUAGACAUUUUUCUUUUAGUUCAAAUUCAAUCUUUAAAAUGAGAAUCGAAUUCAUCGAAUAUGCGAAGAUCCGUGAAGAUCGUAGAUUUUUACCAACAUUCUACUUUACAAAAUCUAUUCGAAUGAAUCUUUUAGCUUGAAUCGAUAUGAUAAUCGCCUUCUGGAAAACGCGUAAUUACAUUCGCGUUUAUAUAUCGGCUUUAUUUUUUCUUUCGAGUAGAGCGUCCGCGUUUAAUUCUAAAUUUUUAUGUUUAUAUUAGAAAAAUAUAUCAUUAAUUUGAAUUAAAAAGUCUUUUAUGUAUAAUAAUGUAUAGCAUUAUUUCGAUACUAUUUUUUUUCAUCGAGGCAGUGGUUCGGUAAAACGUAAUAUUCUGAUAUUAAAUUUUAUUUUCAAUAUUUUCGCGAACGUCUCGUGUCGCAAUAUUCCUGUAGAUACAUAUGUUAAAACAGAAAUUCAUUCACAUCGGCGAAGAGUAACAUACGUUGCUUCCGUUUCGCUCCUUCUUCAACGUCGCUAUCGUUCCGAAGGUUACGCGAUAUAAUUGGGUGUACGUCGGCGGAAAGUACUUUCGGGAGAAGCGAAACUGAAACCGUUCGCAGUACACGAUCCAUGUACCGGCGUGACUUUGCACAAUCUGAAAUUCAUUGUACCUUUCUUUCCGCAGCGAGCAGUUCUCGCGUUGCGGAAACGGUAUUAAUUACUGCGCGCGUUUCUGAACUCUCCGCGUUCGCGGUUUCCCCACCUCGCCUGCUUUUGCUAUCGAUACCGUUUGCAUUUGAUAUUUUAUGCGCCAUUCGAGCGGAUGGCUGAGAUUCGUAUGGCCGUAACGUUUUGCGUGUAUCUCGAGAGGAGAUACGCACGCGCGCUUGGCGUUUUGAUCAGCGAAAAGCAGUUAUGCCCUUUCGCGUGGAUAAAUGGCAAUCGCCGACGCAGCCGUCACGGACAGAUUUCGCUUGUAGCCGUUGUAGCUUAAUCCGCGGAAGUAACGUGCGGCAUUGCGUACUGUGAUCCCUUUGAGCGACGCAACCGGUAUCCGCUGGUACCCUUUGCGCGUGUCUCUUGUACAAGCACUUUACGAUCAAGCUCGAAUUGAAAGGUUGGUUAUUAUUUAAUUGCUUUUGACAUUCGGCGAGAAACCUUGUCGAGGGAAAAUGUCACGUUUGUCUGCUGAUAAAUUUAUUGUAUCGGAGGUAUCCACAGUUUUAUCAUUUUAGGAUGUUCGAACAAUUGAAAUAUGUGAAUUCGGCAUGACCGUUCUUUCACAAAGAUGGCGCAAUUUUUUUCACUGUUUGGAUGCCAGUGAUUUUUGGAUAUUUUGUGAUUUAUUUCUAUUUCACAGGUUAAAAUGUAAAAUGCGAAAAUUGUGUCGCUAUCGAAAAACAGACAGUUUUUUUUGUUUUUUAUUUUUCUUUUGUUUUGCCGAGAAUGGAAUAAAAACAAUGUGUGUGUGUGCAAAGUUGGCGUAUCAUUUCGUAGAAACUCAGAAAUAUUGAAAGUUCUGGCUCCAUUUACGAUAGUUCUAUAGUUUCUGAUAGAUAAAUCAAAUAGUUCUGGCCUUUAAAGCGAGAGAAACGCCUAGGACAAAGUGAAACGUCAGGUUCAUACAGCGUCUCAGGUUGUCCUACGUCAUUUUCCGAAUGUGAAAAUUUCGUUCUUUGAAUAAAGUAUUCAAAUAUUUAAAGUGCCACAACUUCUUUGUUUUCGACUUUAGCGCUUCAAUUAUUAAGGAUAAUCGAUAAAACUCUUCGGGGAACUGCCAGAACUUGUGGCAGAACUCCAGAUUCUCAAAAAAUGUUUUGUCUGGUGAGGAAUUGAUAAUUUUCGAAAAAUUUUUCGCCAACUUUACACACACUAAAUAAAAACAUUUGAUUUUUUCUGUUAAGAGCGGUAUUUAUAAAACUCAACGUAUGACUAGCAAUCUUGCGUGUUCAGAUGAGACGUCUUUAAAGAUUUAAUAGAGCCGAUAUUAUAGAUUCAUGAUAGCACAUUUCUUUUUUUUCAUAAUUCUAAUAAUUAAUUAUAUAGAAAUCGCUUUUCUAUAUUAUUCUUCAAUCCCUAGAAAAAUUUCUUGAAUUUGUAUGUCAUUUCCGAGACAUGUAGACAUGCUCAUCUCGAGAUCGAAACCUGGAAGCGCUCGUUUUAACAAGAUCGAAAUUGAAUUCAGAUUCGCGAGUCUCGACUCGUGUUUACAGUAUAAACAUUACGUCACGGUGUAAUAGACGCACCGCGUCGAAUCGCAUCCACGUGCGCGUAUGUCCCCCUUUGACUUUCGUCUCGCAAUCCUCUUGACAACCAUCAUCGAAGUUAAGAGCAGCAUGCAUCUUUUUCCGAGUACGUUGAAGACGUGCCUAUCAGACGUCUAAGUAAUAGGGACAAACAAGCUCGCGCUAGUGUUUCGCGAGCACCGGAUGAGUGAGGUAAGGCUGGUGAAGAAGUUGACAAACAUUUUAAUGAGAUGGGAUCUCUCGCGCGUCGGGAUCAACGGGGAAAGCCUGCUGAUGAGAGAGGUGAUCGUAAACGAUGGAAAACUGCACGAGGCCAAAAUAUAAAACGACAAACUAGAAAGUAAGCGAGAACGAGUAUCAUGAGAGCAAGUAUAGGUACAGAGAUAGGAGAGGGGGGAGGGACAGAUGAUGAGAGAGACCCCUGGGAACAUCACGACCGUUUUAUCGUCUUGCUCCAAUCGGGGAUAUCUUCGCUCGAUAUCUCGCCGCUUUACCGGACGCUUCACCGUUACACCCUUUCGAUCGCGCGUUCAGUCUCGAAGAGCUCUAUAUCGGACCGACUAGUUAUCCGCUCGACCAACGUCUAAUUGCCGAAUUAUUAGCCGGGAUUUAUCUCGCCGCCGGAUACGUUGUCUUUCAUCGUUGUUCGCGCGGCUGGUCGAGCAAUUCGUGUUCAAGGACCGUUAAAAAGUAGGUUACGUUACUAUAUAGACAUUCCUCGCACCAACGACGAGAUCACUGAACCGAAGCAUGAUUUUAUUUAUCGGUAAAUUUGCCCGCAUUGAGUAAACUGCAUUUAUACCGCGCGUAAAUAUUUAUAGAAAUACGUAGAGGUGACAAAUUCUUGAUUGCAUAUGCGGAAUCACAUGCAACAAAAGAUUUUAUAUAUAUAUAUAUAUAUAUAUAUUCUGUUACGUCCAACAAAUGUAGAAAAUACAGAAUAUUUAAAAAUAUAUAAAUUCUGCAUUAAUUCCUCAUUUUUUAAGCUUACUUUCCAUGAUUUGUCAAAGUAUGAAAACUAAUUAUUAACCCUCCAUUUACAAUUCAGCUUUUUUGGCACAAGCAAAAUUUCACUUGCAAAUUUUACUCCAAGUUUUACUUUGUAUUAAUUAAAGAUUUUAACAUUUCAGUUAAAAAAUUAUUUAUCGGGAUAAUAUAAUAGAGGUGUUGAAAAAUGUAACUCUGAAAUUUUCCAGAUUUUUAUAUCUAGAACAGUAAAAUAAACUUAGCUGGAAAACAAAAAGAGUCCAAAAUGUAAACAAAAGGAGGAAGUAAAAAUUAAUUACAAACGGAUGGUUAAUUAGAUAUUUGGAUUAUUAAUUAGAGACUAACUACAGAGAAGACAAAAGAAUUCAUCGUUGAACGUGAAACGGAAUAAUCUGGAUGGUUAAAUGAUUUAAUAUUUUAUAAUGUAACUUUAUAUGUAUUAUUCCGUUUUAAAUUCAGUAAUAAAUCUUUAUUUUUAUUGUAAUUAGUUUUUAAUUACUAAUAUGAAUAUUUAAUUAAUAAUUAAUUUUCAAUUUUUAAUGAAUCAUUGAAAAUUGGUACGCUCAGAUUAAGGAAAAUUAAUAUAGAAUUUUUAAAUGUACAUAUUUCAUGAAAACAUAAUUAUUGCAUAUUAACAUUAAAAAAUUCAAAUAAGUAAAGAAAAAUUUGAAUGUUCUCAAAUUGUAAUUUUUAUUACAGCAAUCCGUAACUAUUAUAUUUUAUGCAUACUUAUUGAUAAUAACUUAUCUCACAAUUAGAGAUAUGCAACAACAUAAUGUAUUUUUUAAACCUGAAAAGUGGAACAGCAUAUAGAAGAAAUAGAUAAUUCUGAAAUAUCGUUGUGUCAGAUAUCAUAUCUUGAAAUAACAGAAAUACAUGCCUAAAAUCAGAACAUAUCAGAAACUGAAUUGAAUCUGACAUCGUCCCAAUUUUUAUACACUUAACAAAAGGUCACCAUUUAAAAUUGAUGUAUAGUUAUUGUGUGUAUAUUAAUAUGUACAUGGUUAAUAUAUUAUUGAUUAAACUUUUUUACAUUAUUGUAUUUUGUAUUUUCUUAUUUUUAUUUUUUGUUAUUUAUCUUUUAGUAGAUUGUUUUAUAGAGUUGUUACAUUUUUUCUUGGAUUUAAAAAUGAUUAUUUUGAUUAUUAUGAAAAAAGAUUUCUAUAUCUAGAAAAGAUUUGUUUAAAAUAUAAAUCUAAUAUUUUUUUUAAACAAAACGUUAAAUACAAUAUUUUUGAACAAAUGUUGUUGCUUAUAACACUUUCGUAGCUUAAAACAAUCGAUUCUUGUAUUAUAACUAACACUUGGAAAUAUUUUUAGUUUAAGUAUUUUGGGUACGUGUUGCACCCCAUUUCUAAUUAUGAUUUUUCCGGAGGCUGCGUGUCCGCUAUAAGUAUCGAAUUCAUGUCUAUUCUUGGCGAUGAUCACGACGCGAGCUGGCUUUUGACGUGAUUUAUCACGAAAAGCAAUGGUGUGGAGUGCGCGGACGGAAGGAAGCGUCAGUUUGGUUUAUCUUUGCUGAUAAAAUUGAUUAACGCCGACGCAACGUUAAAUUUAACUCGAUACACGGUUUGCCAUUAUUAGUGAUAAAUUACCCGGCAGGUCCCGUUUACGAGGGGGGCGUCGAUUUCCUAAGUGGCGACGGUGUUGGCGCGAAGAGGUGCGGAGGACCUAAACACAACUGCUCGCUUCUGCCGCGGUGUCCAUUUGCAUUUCUCGCUUUUCUCGGCAAGAGCAAUGCGCAUCGUGUCCUUUUUUCGCCAUUGGUCCUCGAAGGAAGAAUAUACGAGACGGCGCUCGCGACACGACAAGCCGCAUGCCGCUUUGAAGUUAUAAAACACUUUGCCGUACGUUAACAUCUAACCCUUACGCCAUUAAUCGUCUUCUCAGCGGUAUUUGCCCAUGUAAGAGCUUUUCGCUCUGUCUUCCUUACGACAUAUAAUAACAAAACAUAUAUAUAUAUUUUUUUUUUUUUCCUAUUAUAUAUCAUAUAUAACUAUCGUUAGCGAUCAUUCAAGCAUAAUUAAGUAUAAUCUGUUAAGAAUUAUUUCGAAUAUAUAUGUACGCAUAUAAAUUAAAUAAAGAAUAUAAUUAUUUAUAGAUUUGUAUUUCAAAAAGUUGUUUUUGAGAUUACGUUUAGUCAAUCACCUAUCAUGCGGUCACUAAUACUAUCGCACGAGCGGUAAUGAUUCAUGAACAUAUAACUGUCUAAAUGUAGUUUGUAAUUGGCCGGCUUUAAACCUUUCCAUCUCAAAAAUUACUUGAAAUAAAAAUUUAUAAACAACUAUUUUUUUCUAAUCUUUCAAGAAUUUUCUUGCUGUAAAAUUUGAUUUACAAAUUUUGGAACACCUGUAUGUAUAUUUGAAAUAAUUUCUAACGGAAGAUUAUAUUUAAUUUUGUUUGGCCGAUCGACGUUUCUGGCUAUGCAUACACAUGAUAUACAAUUUGUUAUCAUUUUUUUGCAAUGCCUGCCCUUUCUAUGUGUAUACGAAGUUAAAACAAUAUAUUAUGUACAAUUUUUUUGUUUUUGUUUAUAUAAAAGUAUAAUAUUUUAUACGUUUCAUAAAUCAAAUGAAUCCACCUUUUGAGGACAUUGUGGCAUUUAUUAAAAAAAUAUUUUUAAUGCAAAAUGAAUAAAGAAUCAUUUGAAAUUUGGGUUAUAUUAAUCUUACAAAGUGUCGCAUUGUUAUGAAAUAGUUAGGACAUAGGUCAAUUUUUUAUUACGCAACGAAAGCUUAUAGAAUUUCUCGAAAACUUCGAACAAGAUCAUGCAUAAAUAUAAAAUAAUAUUAAAUAUAAAAUAUUAUUAAAAUUCAUGCAAAGAGAACUAGGCGCUUGAGGCUAAAUUGGAAAUGAACCAUCUGGUGAAUGUGACUUCCAGAUAUACACAAAUGAAAGUUAUUUUUAAAAGAAUAUUUCUACAAGAUUUAUUAAUAAUAUAGAAAGUAUUCUCUGAUUGAAUUUAUGAAAUAUUUUAUCAAUGAAAAAAGUUUGAACCGACUUUUGUUAUAUUAUAUAUGUAUAGAAAUUUGGAAAUGUAGAAAUUUUAUACAUGUAUGUAGAAGAGAAACCAAGUUUUCAUUUUAUGUUCACACAGAUAUAAAGCUUGAUAUAAUAUGUCUAUCAUAUUUCUUGAGAGAUUUAUUAUAGAAUAUUUCCUUUCUUGAAAAUAUGCACAUUUUUAUUUAUACAGGUAUAGUAUUAUUAUAUAAAACAUUUUAUAUCAAACUUUAUAUAUCAGUAUUCCAAUGCACGACGUUGACCAUUUGCAUUUUCUCUUUUGAAGCGAUUUUUUGCGCUGUCGGUGUCGCACGAUGUCACGUUUUUCCGAUAUUUAUCGUAUUCGAACAUAUGCGUGCGAAGACGAGCGGAAAAGAGUGAUCGAAACAAAUCCGAGACGGUCCACGUGAAACGAGCGAUAAACGAUUUCUAUCACGGCGUGAUGCAUUUGAGCUAGUACUCGAUUGAAAAUUUACGAGGCCACCUUCAGCAAUGCUCUGAGAAAAGAUCUCGUAGCGCCGAUGACCGUGCCGGCAGAAAUGGUGUCUUUUAUGGGAAUUAUCAUAUUCUAAUUUUAUGAGCUUUUUCCUUUACAGCGAAUUCGCCUUCCGCACAUUUAUGCCAAAAGUGAGCUUUUAUUUUCCAUAAACCUUAGGCUCACGCGCAAAGUAGAUGCCGGAUCGUAAAACAGUAGCGGAUAUAUUGAAGCAUUAAACGUCUUCUCUUCGUGCAUGUGCCGAUAAGAUCCUAUCUAUAAGUUUGAAGUAAGUUUUGCAUGAGGCGUUUCACCUCGUGGGGACAUUUUCACAUAUAGUUUGAUACAUGCAGAAAAUAAUGGACUUUGAUGUUUUUU
This is a long non-coding RNA of Solenopsis invicta (red fire ant), 34818 nucleotides long. RefSeq lists it as uncharacterized. The record is from RefSeq and is a predicted model, not a curated record. NCBI's taxonomy places the organism in Eukaryota, Metazoa, Arthropoda, Insecta, Hymenoptera, Formicidae. The transcript is spliced from 2 exons.